RNAcentral lists this ribosomal RNA (253 nucleotides) under uncultured bacterium. RNAcentral's name for it is "partial 16S ribosomal RNA". It matches the Rfam family "Bacterial small subunit ribosomal RNA", at positions 524 to 776 of the family's 1533-position model. The record is from RNAcentral.
GACAGAGGGUGCAAACGUUGUUCGGAAUUACUGGGUGUAAAGCGUGUGUAGGCGGUCCACUAAGUCGGGUGUGAAAGCCCUGGGCUCAACCCAGGAAGUGCACUCGAAACUGGCGGGCUAGAGUAUCGGAGAGGUUGGUGGAAUUCUCGGUGUAGAGGUGAAAUUCGUAGAUAUCGAGAGGAACACCGGUGGCGAAGGCGGCCAACUGGACGAAUACUGACGCUGAGACACGAAAGCGUGGGGAGCAAACAGG